UCCCUACGGGGUGCACCAGGCGCGCAAACUUUACAAUGCGAGCAAUCGUGAUAAGGAAACCCUGAGUGCCUGUCGGAUGCAGGCUGUUCAUAUAUCUAANAUCCAUAUGUGAAAGAAAGGGCAGGGCAAGA
RNAcentral lists this ribosomal RNA (131 nucleotides) under uncultured archaeon. RNAcentral describes it as "partial 16S ribosomal RNA". It matches the Rfam family "Archaeal small subunit ribosomal RNA", at positions 319 to 451 of the family's 1478-position model. The record is from RNAcentral.